AUGGCGUUUGCUUUGCAGGGAUGGGCGGCUCAGGUCUCAGGCCUUUUGGAGCGGCUGGAGGUUAUUAGUGACAGAGUUGUUGCUUCGCCGGCCAUCAUCUCUUCCUUGGCGCCGAUGGGUCCACCUCCUCCCUGGUGUGACCAUGAGGAAUCGUUGCUUCCUGCUGUUGCUUGCGGUAAAGAUAUCAGUGAUGCGGGUGUGGCCGGUUGCUCAUCCGAGGUACUGGCUACUGUGGCUCUACCUGUAGAUAUUCCUCCUCCUUUGGAUCUAGCUUUGCACAGGAUGGUGACUCAAGGUGAGGAGGCACAAGCUAAGGUUGCUGAGAAAGUCAGAGGGACCGAUGAUAUGGAGCGGACGGAGGUGUCCUUACCUGUUGGCUUGGUUGGAGAGGUGACGCCCUUGGUCUCCUCUCCAGGGAUGACUGCCUCAGAGGGCAAUACACAUAUGAUGUCUUCCGGGUCCGAGGAGCUACUCGGUGACACUGGAGUGCCUUCAACCACCUUAUUGGAUGAGCUCCUAAGCAGUUUUAGUUGCACAGCGCCACAGUCCUUGCUCGUAGAACCGAUUCAAUUGCAGAUUGAAGGGGUAUCUACUUGUUCCGGAAGGCGUAGUGACCGUUUGGAUAAAAAGAACAAAAACUGCAACAUUCCUAUUGCCAAACGCGCUGAAUAUAGGUUGGCGGAGGCUUAUGGGGAACUACCGAAGGGAAUGACGUCUAAGAAAGCCACCGAGGAGGAGGUGCAAGAGAAGAUGAAGCCUUAUCUACAGAUGUAUAAGAAACCGCCUACGCCAAUGGCGGUCCAGGCAAUCCGUGCCUUGGUGGAAGUCAAUGUUUGA
This 837-nucleotide ribosomal RNA is filed under the name Triticum aestivum (bread wheat). RNAcentral's name for it is "partial small subunit ribosomal RNA". Lineage: Eukaryota; Viridiplantae; Streptophyta; Magnoliopsida; Poales; Poaceae. The record is from RNAcentral.